This 401-nucleotide ribosomal RNA is filed under the name uncultured bacterium. RNAcentral describes it as "bacterial SSU rRNA". It matches the Rfam family "Bacterial small subunit ribosomal RNA", at positions 975 to 1375 of the family's 1533-position model. The record is from RNAcentral.
CAGGUCUUGACAUCCCACUGACCGGUUUAGAGAUAAGCCUUUCCCUUCGGGGACAGUGGUGACAGGUGAUGCAUGGUUGUCGUCAGCUCGUGUCGUGAGAUGUUGGGUUAAGUCCCGCAACGAGCGCAACCCUUGAUCUUAGUUGCCAGCAUUCAGUUGGGCACUCUAAGGUGACUGCCGGUGACAAACCGGAGGAAGGUGGGGAUGACGUCAAAUCAUCAUGCCCCUUAUGACCUGGGCUACACACGUGCUACAAUGGACGAUACAAAGGGCUGCAAACCCGCGAGGGGGAGCCAAUCCCAUAAAAUCGUUCUCAGUUCGGAUUGUAGGCUGCAACUCGCCUACAUGAAGCCGGAAUCGCUAGUAAUCGUGGAUCAGCAUGCCACGGUGAAUACGUUCCC